Molecule: long non-coding RNA, 5817 nt
Filed under: Homo sapiens (human)
Lineage: Eukaryota; Metazoa; Chordata; Mammalia; Primates; Hominidae
Description: HSALNT0323086
Source: RNAcentral
CCCAGUCUUGAGUAUGUCUUUAUCAGCAGUGUAAAAACGGAUGAACAUACACCGUAAAUGUGACUUUUAUCAUUCAUUUAAGCAUCCUGUUUAUAAAAAUGUAAAUAAUCCAUUUUCACAUAUGCUGUGUUUUCGAUAAAAUAACUUGCUUAAAUCCAAUCCUGGCAUCAUAGAUAAUUUAAGCCAUGGUUUUCUGAUCCCGUCCUCUUUUGUGACUCCAGUCCCACAGACAGGAACCAAAGCCAGCAGAACAAAGCAGCCCCAGAUGUGUUCUACUCUAUUAUCUGAAGUAAAUGAAAAUCAACCCUGAGAAAUAUCAAUAAUAGUGGAAAGUCUCCCACUCUACUUCUACAUAUAUCCUAGUACUGUGUGUGUCAAUCUCAUAUUCUACUGUUGGCCAUGCUGUGUUUCACUGAGAAAAUGGCAAUACUGGUGCUGCUUAUAUAUAAGGUAGGAUUCCCCUCUCACAGAUAGCCACAGCUUUCUUUAAAAGAAGGUACAUUUCCCGAGGAUUAAUCAUUAGGGAAAUUAUUGGUUUCUCCAUUAGCCAGAGUUGUGCAUCACCAGCAACAGAAACCAGCUAUAGCUGACUUAAAGGGAAAAGAAACAUAAAUAUUGGAUAGCUCACAAUAUCAUAAAGAUGACUGAAGAGAUGGUGAGAGAAACAUAAACUAUUUGUAAAUUCUACUCAUUUCCUCCAUAAAAGGGAAUGCAAAAUGUCAUUGAUUUGGGUUAGUUGUACUUCCUAUAUUACAUAAGUAUCACGAUUUGGGGUGACUUUUUACAAGGAGAUAGCAUUAUUUAAUCGUUUUUGAUUUGGGGAGUUAAAAAAGUAUCUUUGCUUUUUGUGCUGGUAGGUGCAUUAUAGGGUCUAAAGUUUUUUUCCUACCUUCCUUCUCACAGGUAGAGAACCUCCUUCUACUACCAUCAAAGUCCUUGAUCUGUUUCCCAACAUGAAUUAACCUUUCCAUGUUUUCGUUACAUUUGAACAUCAGGAAUGUGUAGACGGAAGCAGUUCAUCCUGGGAGGACUUCAAGCAGUAGAAUGAGGCCAACCUGCAAAACUGACCUGUCAUGCCCUGCCUCACCAUCUUAUCCAGUCCUGGACUCAACCAGCUGAACUAAUCCCUAAACCACCAAGUCUACCUUAGAAAAACAGUUCUGGAGGCUGCAAGUCCAAGAUCAAGGUGUCACCAUCAUUGGUUGCUUCUGGGGGCUGUUGAGAAAGAACGUGUUCCAUGCCUCCCACCUAGCAUCUAAAGGACCUAAAUGAAAGUGAUAUUCCUGCCUCUCUCUACCCAUUUUCCUUCCUGGAAAGCAGAAGUGACAUCUUAUUGAUGAGUUGUGGAGAAGCUGCUGAACAUGCAUCUGUAUUUGGGAGACUGUCUGCAGAGAGUACAUAUUCUCAGCUCCUACAAGCUAUAAAGCACUUAGGAUCCAUUGUGUCAGAGCGUGUAACAGGGACCAUGUAAGAGUUUCUAUUUAUAUUUUAUUAUAUUAAUAUCUAUUUACUUUACAUUUUAUUUUUUUAUAAAACAGAAACCUGAAAGAAAUAUGGCAAAAUGUUGAUACUUAAAUAUUAGUAUUGGCUACAUGAGUGUCAUCUUGUUUGCUUUGUUUUUUUAUAUGUUUAAAAAUUAAAUACAAAAAUGUAUGCAACUAUAAGAGUCUAAUAAAUAAAAAUGUAUAAAACUAUAGGUGAUUAAAAAAAUUUAUCUAUUAUUUUUUCUAUCUACAGCAACUCAACAUUUCCUACUAAAUACGGUAAUGACAAUUAUAAUCUCCUAUUUAAAUGUAUUAUAUACAUAUAUUCAGCCUUUAGAAGUGGCUUUAAAGUGCAUCAUUUGAAUUUAUUAAGGGCAUUGCUCUAGAUUGCACGUCUGGUAAGUGCUGUUUGUGGGACUCUAAGGCAUGUCUUCUGAAUACAACUUCUAUGCUUUUUAAAGACACUUAACAGACAAACAUAAUUAGAAUGCUAUGGAGUUUGAAAUGUUCAUUAUAUUGUCUUUUUAAAAAAUCAGAAUAUAUAAGAAAAACCAUUUAGAAAAACAAACCAUUUCGAUGAAAGCUUGAUGAUAGCAACACCCAAAAAAGGCAGCAACAGCCCAGAUGUCCUCAUAGGUGGACAUUUUUCUCUACACCUUCUUCACCAGACACCAUUUUUCCGCAAAUUACUGCAUCAAUGCUCCAAUUCUCUGUUAUCUUUCCUAUAUUCCUUUAUUCACUUUGUUCCUUCUUCUUACAGAAGUCAAUUCUUGCUUCUCUAGCACAAUGUGCUCAGACUUGUCCUACAAAUAAGAGAUUCUAGGCCUGUUUACCCCACAAACUGGACAGCAUCCAUGUAUCCUCCCCACUUGCCAUUUUUGUUUCUAAUGAUCCCUGGAUCACCACAUAAUCCUCUAACAUUGACCCACUGACCUGGAACUAAUGUAGUAGACCUGGAUCCACUGACUCACUGAUCUAAUGUAGUCUCUACUAGUCUCUAUUAGUUUUCCUUACUUCAAGAAUGCAAACAAAAUGUCGAAUAUUAUCCCCUAAAAUUAAAGUAAAACUCCUGACAAUGUUUAAAAAACAGGAGUGUAUAACUGUCAUUACACUGCUACAUUCUGAAUCACUGAUUAGAAUUUGGAAGUGGAAAUUUGAAGAUACAGGUUUUUUUUUGGUAUAGGUAUGUAUUCUGUGUCCUAAAUUUACCUGUAUUUCAGAAAUAUAUCAUGGAAGCUACAUUCAAUAUUAAACAGAUUAUUUUAUUAUUAAAGAAAUAUCAUUCCAGAAUUUAAUGUAUCAUCAAUAAAGCUCUCCAAAGAAAACUGCAUUUUGUGCUUGUACACCUUCUUUAGCAGCCGCUUCUUGUACUAUAGUUUGAGUAAAACUAAAAUUAUGCCCCUACCGUUGACUAAAUUUCCCAAAGCAUUGGAUGUUUAAUUGAAAUUUAUUUAUAUUAUUUUAAGUUUUCCCAGCAUAUGGAAGAAAAGUGAAGUAUCUCUGAAAGAAAGGAAUUUAAAAUGUUGUUAAAAGUAUUUAACAUUAAGUAUUUAUAUUUUGCCUAAAUAAGACAGUAUUAACUACUGCUUUCCCUUAGGCAAGGCAUAAAUAUCUCAUAUACGAGAAUAAAAAGAAAGUAAACUAUUAUUGAAAUCAAUACAAAAGGAAAAAAGCUAUAUCAUAUUUGUCUAUAAAAAGUAGAAAUGACUUCAGCAAAUGAGCUGAAGUUCAAUAUAAAUUAAAUUAAAAUUUCAAUGUCAUUCAUGCAUGUGUAUAUAAACGUAACUGAAACAAAGACAGAAAUGUUAAUAGUUACUAUCUCUGGGUAAUGAGAUUAUGACUUAUUCCUAUUACUUACUUUAUAAUUUACUAAUUUUGUAAAUUUUCUGAAAUGGGCAUGUGUUACCACAGUAAUAAAAAAUUUAUUUAAAAGAUAACACCAUCUAUGCUAUAAAAACCUAUAUGUGCAUUUCUAGUAACAUUGCCAAUACAGUGAAUCUAAGACUUAAGUCAUGAGCAUUGUCCUGUUGUCAGAAAUAUAUGUCAACAUGUUGUGGUCCUCUGCUGAAAUACAUGAGAUCCUGAAUUAUAUUUUGAAGAAAAAUAAGUAGCUAAUAUCAGUGCCCCCUAACAUGACUCAAGACCACCAGACUUUGAGAUACAAAAUGCAAGAAUUUAAAAAGUUUAGUUUCAUACUGUUAAAAACAAUCAAUAUAGAAGAAAAAGGAAAAUAUGCUUUUUAUAUGUAGCAGUUUUGUUUUAAGGUAGGAUUCCUCAGUAUGCACAUAUACACAUAACACAUCACUUAACAUUGAAAGAGAAACACAGGUGUCAGUGAAAGGAUGGGCAACUGACUCCUACUUAAUAGGAUGAUUCCUCUUAAUGCCUACAGAGAGAGUAGAAUCAUAUUAUCUCAAGGCAUGGAUUCUUAUCCCUACCUAUUAUACCCAGUAGGACCAUAGGCCAAUUACCAUUACAAUGAACCCCAGGGAUUUUUCCAAUUCUCAGGUUAUACUGAGUUGUUUUCAUACCCAGGAGUCAACAGUUAACCAGUAAAUACUUCUUGCUUUCCUUCUGUGUUUCACGCGCUGAUCUAGGAGCUGGGAAUAUGGAAUGUGUACCACAGGAAGCUAACAUUCUAAAAAGGGAGGCAGGCAAUCAACACAUAAAUAAAUACUGCAUAAGACAAUUUCAGAUACAGGUGUGAACUGAGAAGAUGAAAUAGGAUAAUGAGAGGGUAUGUGAGGAGAAGGUUGUUGCUAUAGUUAUGAUAGUUAAGGAGUGUCUCUUUAAAGAGAGGAGAAGAAAUGAUCACUGUAAGGUCGAUGGUCUGAGUAACUAGGUGGAUGGUGAUAUCAUUUUAAGGUGAUUGGUAAGCUUGCCUGGGUGGGAAGUGGAUUUCAUCAGUCUGUGUGGGAAAUCACUCAUUCUAAUUCGGUCCAGUUCAUUUUAAUAUGUGAAUUAGUCAUCCAAGUGGAAAUAUGGAAUAGGAUAUAUGAGUCUGUAGCUCUGCAGAGAAUCACAGGAUGGGCGAAAGAUUUUUUUUAAAAAAUAGUUAGAGUCAUAAAAGUUCAGAUACAGAAGAUAACAGGAAAAGAGGCUCUGAGCACGGCAACAAAGGUUUGGUAGGGAAGGAGUACCAAGAGAAGACACUGAGAAGGUGUAGACAUGGGGUAGUGAGAAAACUAGGUGAAUGUGGUGCCAAAAAUUUAAAGAAGAAAAUGUUUAAAUGAGGGAGUUCUCAGCCUAUUCAAAUGCUUCUGAGAGGAUAAGGAGAGAAAACUGACAGUGAUUUUAUUUUAGCAGGGCACAAUGAUGACCUUGAUAAGAACCGUUUGAGUGGAGUAAACACUGACUGGAGUGAGUUGAAGAGAAAAUAAGAGGUGGAAAAAAUACAGAUACAUACCGGAUAAGAUUUUACAAUACCUCAAAGGCUUAUUUCUGAAGGUAGUCAACUGAGGACUGUCCUAUAAAAAUUAAGGGGCAGAUUCACUGUGAGACAAAGGUAAUCUGCUUAUAUUCUAUCUGUUAAACCAAUGCCUACCAUGUUAACUUUAUUUCCUCAUGUGUGGUGAGAUAUUAGUCUGGAAUCUGGCUCAUCUAGAAAUUUUGAAAUGUCACGUGCCUUGGAAAAUAUUGGUGAAUUAACAGUCAACAUCCAUUCAAAUGUAAUAUCCUCUCCUCCAGGGGCUGGAAAACUAAAACUACAUUUUCUAAACUAACUUGCAGCUUCUAAAUGCAGUUAGGCUUGGUAAAUCAGAUGCACAGUUGCAUGAGAUUCGGCAGGCACAAUCUCCACUAUAACUCAAGAACAAUUGUGGAAGCCUUUGUGUUUUCUAUAGCAUGCUUAGUAGAGAGUCCAUUUUCCCAUCACUCAUUUUGUAAGUCAUGAUGCAGGAUUGCCAUCUUGCUGAUUAUUAUAGUAGAUGUGGUUUUGAAGAGGCAGCAGCUUUCUGAACAUGGCAGUUUCCUGACUGUGGCUUUGGUAGGAUAGUUUUGGAAUCAGCUUCCAGAUUUUUGAAAAUGCAGUUGUUCUGAAGUUUGCCUUUAGAAGCCAUUUUACUUUGACAAUAGAAAAUCCCUAUACUAUGGGAAACAUUUUUUGAAAGCCCAACUUAUAGAUGGGUUCUUCUGUCCUCUCAAUGAUUCUGUAAGCCAUUUAAUACCCUAUAAUAAAUUUCUUCCAAUGUAAACAAGUUAGAGAAGAUUGUGUUCUCUAUAUAGAUUUUGCUUUCUCUCUCUCUCUCAACUAACCCCCAACUGAUACACCAUGGUUUUGGUAAUCAACUAUACGCAUUUGCUCUUGUGACAUCUUUUGGACAAUAUAUCAUCU